UAGGAAAGAGGCUGCCAGAAAUUGAU
Molecule: non-coding RNA, 26 nt
Filed under: Rattus norvegicus (Norway rat)
Lineage: Eukaryota; Metazoa; Chordata; Mammalia; Rodentia; Muridae
Source: RNAcentral